Molecule: long non-coding RNA, 2898 nt
Filed under: Gadus morhua (Atlantic cod)
Lineage: Eukaryota; Metazoa; Chordata; Actinopteri; Gadiformes; Gadidae
Description: lncRNA (ENSGMOG00000029314.1)
Source: RNAcentral
AGUUUCAAAUACUUAAAGUGGUAUUUUAGUGUACUUCUGAAAAGUACACUUUGUUUCAAGUCCUUUGUAAUACACUAUUAAAAUGCUUUUUUAGAGUGUAAUUUAAUUUCACUUCAUUAGAAGUGUAUUUAAGUGUACUUCCAUGAAGUGCACUUUAAUGCAAAUACUUUUUAAGCUGUAUUUCAGUGUACUUAGAAAAAGUAUACUAAGUUGCACAUACUUAAAGUGGUACUUUAGUGUACUUCUGAAAAGUACACUUCAUUUCAAGUCCUUUGUAAUACACUAUUAAAAUGCUUUAUCAAAGUAUACUUAAAUUUCCCUUUAUUAGUAGUGUAUUUAAGUAUACUUCCUUACAGUUCACUUUAAUGCAAGUUAAUUUUAAGCUGUAUUUCAGUGCACUUAGAAAAAGUAUACUAAAUUGCAAAAACUUAUAGUUGUCAUUCAGUGUGAUUCUGAAAAGUACACUUAGUAAUACACUAUUAACAUGCUUCAUUUUUAGUAUACUUUAAUUUCACUUCAUUAGAAGUUUAUUUAAGUAUAUUCAUACAUCAUCACAACCAAAGUGUUGAAUUAAUCAAAAAAAUACAGAUAAAUAAUACUGAAAUGGCUACUUUUACUAGCUCCAACGACUAACUAUUAAAGAAAAUCCAAGGCUAUAACCAAAAUUUGAAAAUAGCAAGUUUAUAACGGCCAUCCAAUCAGUGUGCGGCUGCAAAUCGACGUCCAAUGAGAAUGUAGUAUUUAGGUCGCCAAUUGGUGGUUUACUCAAAUACACUUGGCGCGGACGGUUAGUGUUCCAUUUGAAAUUGAGCAGUGAGCACCUAAUAUCUCCGGGUCAAACAAUGACAGUGUUUGGUUUGUUUUAUUUCCAAGACGGCUCCGUUAGAGCAGAUAAUACAUCCGUCAUACGUGAUGCAUACAGAAAUAAAAAAAUAACGGUUAACUGCAGGGAAGACCUCGAGUCGGAGCAGGGCUGGAUAGAGGUAAUUUGGCCUACACAACGGCGACAACAAGAGGCGAAGCCUAUUGCAGCCAAAUUGCUUUUCUUUGGAGACACGGUGAGGGAGAAAUUCCCCAACACCAUGGUUAGUGAGAUCCGGGCCCUGCUGCGGAGGAAAUGCAAUAAUGAGGGCUACACCAAGGUUGCUCCUCAGUAGCUUUAUUAUAUAUGUUAUAUAUGUCAGAUGUUUUAAAGUUAGGUGUUAUUGAAUGCAUGUUUGUAUUAAUAUUUAAAUUAAAGUUUUGGUUUGUACAAUUUAAGUGUUUUUUGUCAUGGAACAAAAUAGCACCCAUGGAGUGUACUAAAAUGGUACCAGAAAGAAGUGCAUGUGAAGUAUAAUAUGUAUUGUAAGUAUAUUUCUGUAGUAUUUAUAAAGUACUUAGUAGUAUAACAGUAUUGUACUUAAAAUACCCUUAAUAUACGCUUCCACUUUACAUUAUAGUAUAAUAACUAUACUUUAAGUACAUGCCUUUGAUGCUUAAAUUGUGACACAAAUUGACUAUAAAUACAUAAUAAAUGCAUUUUUAGUUACAUAAUUGCACACUUUAAAAGUACUAAAUAUAGUCAGAAAGUGUACUUGAAUUUAAUUAGAAAUAUGACAGAGGAAUGAUAAUAGUGUGUUAAAAAUACACUUCUAUUAUGUAGUAUAAGCAGUGAUAAAAUACACUCAAUAUACACUUCUGCUCCUCUUUAGAGUAUAAUAACAUUGUACUUAAAGUGCAUGCCUUUGAUGCUGCAAUUGUGAUAGAAAUGUACUAUAAAUACAUUUUAAUUAACAUAAUGGCAGACUUAAAAAGUACUAAAUAUAGUCAGAAAGUGUAUUUGAAUUUAAUUUGAAAUAUGACAGAAGUAUGAUAAUAGUGUGUUCAAAAUAUACUUAUAUACUACUAUCAAUUGAACCAUACUGCCUUUUUAAGUAUAUUUCAAACACACUGGUAAUAUAAUGCUAUUGUACUGCAAGAGUGUUUCAAAUGCUAGAAAUCAUACUUUUCACUAGUGUACUUCAGUACACUUAAAGGUUGUCAAAAGUUGUGCAAUUUUAGCAUACUAUUUACACUUGGAGUAUACUGGAGUAUAUCUAUAGUAGUACUUAAGGUAUACCUUAGUACACUUUGGUAUACUUGAAUGCGACGAAAUUAGUACAGAAUACAGUUACAUACUAAAAGUGGACUUAGUACAUCCUUUCAAAAGUGUCGUUGAAGUAUAAUAUUUUUUCACCUGGGAUGGUUCUUUGAAUGAUCGUACAUAACAAUCUCUAGGUGGUGAAGAAGUAAAUGCUGCGUCACGUUUAGCUACACACUUUUUCCAUCUAAUUUCGACUGGGUUUUGGGAUUAUCGGUGCCGUUAAAGUAGUAAACGGCACCGACGUAAAAACCCAGUCACAGCAGUCAUGUGGUUGACUGAAAACGAGGGAGGCAUCUGAUUGGCUAGUGACUUCCUUGUUGAAAAAAAUGCAUUUGUGAAUCUAGCGACGUCAGGAGAGUCUCAAAAAUCCACACAUAGGCCUAAAUACAGACCAGUUCCCACACAAAUGCAAGUAAGUUCACAAAUGAAAAACGUCUUGUAAAUACAAGUUUAACAGUUUGUAUAUAAAUGUUACAACAUCCAAAUACAUUGUGAUGAAAAUUGCAAAUAUUUUUUUAAUUAAUAUAUUUAUGGAUUUAUAUUACAUUUAUUUAAAACAAGGUACAUUUGUGUUUGGAUCAGAAAUGUGUUUGUGAAACUUAUUUUUGUUUAUGGAUUUAUUUUACAUUUAUACAUACCGAUAUCCAUUUAUGUGUGCAUUGAAAUGUAUUUGUGGGAAGAGAGUAGGCUAAUUUAUAUAUAAAUCACAAAAUACAUUUGUGAAUCCUUCUCUGUGCAUUCAUUAUUAAUGAGACUGUUCUGACCCCAUAUCA